GGGUUGAGCAUUCUCGGGCUGUGCAAGUUCGGUCCGGGGCGAUAAUACGAAGCCACUCUUUUCACAGGGCAAUAAUGUACGACCCUAUAAUUCGCGUCCACUAAUCUGAGUCCCUUGGCUUUCAAUUAUCGGGCUGCGCAUUAUUGGUACGGGUCGAGAAUGCUCGACCCAAUAAUGUACAUCCCAAUAAUUGGAAGCCAAAAACCAGAGACAUUUUUUUUUUUAAGACAGCUGUCAAAAUUAGUAGGGACGUUCUGACAUGAGCUCUUGACAGUUUAAAAAUAAUCGGUUUUUUCUAGUGACAUCUUUCAAUGAUAUUGACAGUGUUGACACGUGUUGGUUUACAUUACGCUUUGUUAUCAUCUUUUUAUUUUUAAUGUAUGGUUUUCAAGAGCUCUAAUACUUGUAAUGUAUGCAUGAAAUCAUAUGGCAAGAGAACCUAAAUCGUUUUGGAACUAUAUGAACUCUAAAAGAAACAGUAGAGACUACAUGAGGGAAAUACAGCAGUAUGUAGAUUAUGAAGAGCACAGAUUGAAUCCAGCAGUGACAUGGGCCAUUUGUUCAAUAGAAUAUCUUGGUUAUAUGGAGAUUGGCUGAGAAAGCAAGGUGUAUGCUACAAGGUGCAGGUUUCUGCAAAAUAUAUUAGGGAGCUGAUACAGGCAGCCAGAAUGAGUCUGCUGGGUCGCCGGCGCCGGACGCGCGACGCGCGCCUCGGACGUCUGACGUCUUCGUGUCUCUCGCCAGUUGCAGGGGAAGAUGCGAAUAGUUAUAAGGCGUGCAUGACGUCGCUAAAAAAUGAUAGAUAUAAUACUAAUCUUGUUGCCCGAGGUAUUCCUCAAGUUCACGGGGUAGAUUACAGGUGUAGUGCAUAAUCCUUUACCAUUUUGACGACCACUCUGGCCUAGUAGGUAGUGAUCCUGCUUAUGAAGCCGAUGAUCCUGGGUUCGAAUCUCGCGGUAACGGAAUUUAUUUUAGUGAUGAGUACAGAUAUUUGUAGCUGAGUCAUGGAAGUUUUCUAUGUGGGAAUUAUUCAAUUUGUGUAAGAAUAUCCCUUUAAUACUUGUUUAUUUAUUUUUCGUAUUUUCUCGGAACGU
Molecule: long non-coding RNA, 1094 nt
Organism: Cydia pomonella (codling moth)
Lineage: Eukaryota; Metazoa; Arthropoda; Insecta; Lepidoptera; Tortricidae
Exons: 3
Source: RefSeq, a predicted model, not a curated record